This 1362-nucleotide ribosomal RNA is filed under the name uncultured bacterium. RNAcentral's name for it is "bacterial SSU rRNA". It matches the Rfam family "Bacterial small subunit ribosomal RNA", at positions 28 to 1380 of the family's 1533-position model. The record is from RNAcentral.
AUUGAACGCUGGCGGCAGGCCUAACACAUGCAAGUCGAACGGUAACAGGAAGCAGCUUGCUGCUUCGCUGACGAGUGGCGGACGGGUGAGUAAUGUCUGGGAAGCUGCCUGAUGGAGGGGGAUAACUACUGGAAACGGUAGCUAAUACCGCAUAAUGUCGCAAGACCAAAGAGGGGGACCUUCGGGCCUCUUGCCAUCGGAUGUGCCCAGAUGGGAUUAGCUUGUUGGUGGGGUAACGGCUCACCAAGGCGACGAUCCCUAGCUGGUCUGAGAGGAUGACCAGCCACACUGGAACUGAGACACGGUCCAGACUCCUACGGGAGGCAGCAGUGGGGAAUAUUGCACAAUGGGCGCAAGCCUGAUGCAGCCAUGCCGCGUGUAUGAAGAAGGCCUUCGGGUUGUAAAGUACUUUCAGCGGGGAGGAAGGGAGUAAAGUUAAUACCUUUGCUCAUUGACGUUACCCGCAGAAGAAGCACCGGCUAACUCCGUGCCAGCAGCCGCGGUAAUACGGAGGGUGCAAGCGUUAAUCGGAAUUACUGGGCGUAAAGCGCACGCAGGCGGUUUGUUAAGUCAGAUGUGAAAUCCCCGGGCUCAACCUGGGAACUGCAUCUGAUACUGGCAAGCUUGAGUCUCGUAGAGGGAGGUAGAAUUCCAGGUGUAGCGGUGAAAUGCGUAGAGAUCUGGAGGAAUACCGGUGGCGAAGGCGGCCCCCUGGACGAAGACUGACGCUCAGGUGCGAAAGCGUGGGGAGCAAACAGGAUUAGAUACCCUGGUAGUCCACGCCGUAAACGAUGUCGACUUGGAGGUUGUGCCCUUGAGGCGUGGCUUCCGGAGCUAACGCGUUAAGUCGACCGCCUGGGGAGUACGGCCGCAAGGUUAAAACUCAAAUGAAUUGACGGGGGCCCGCACAAGCGGUGGAGCAUGUGGUUUAAUUCGAUGCAACGCGAAGAACCUUACCUGGUCUUGACAUCCACGGAAGUUUUCAGAGAUGAGAAUGUGCCUUCGGGAACCGUGAGACAGGUGCUGCAUGGCUGUCGUCAGCUCGUGUUGUGAAAUGUUGGGUUAAGUCCCGCAACGAGCGCAACCCUUAUCCUUUGUUGCCAGCGGUCCGGCCGGGAACUCAAAGGAGACUGCCAGUGAUAAACUGGAGGAAGGUGGGGAUGACGUCAAGUCAUCAUGGCCCUUACGACCAGGGCUACACACGUGCUACAAUGGCGCAUACAAAGAGAAGCGACCUCGCGAGAGCAAGCGGACCUCAUAAAGUGCGUCGUAGUCCGGAUUGGAGUCUGCAACUCGACUCCAUGAAGUCGGAAUCGCUAGUAAUCGUGGAUCAGAAUGCCACGGUGAAUACGUUCCCGGGCC